AAUUUUGGACAAUGGGCGCAAGCCUGAUCCAGCUAUGCCGCGUGAGUGAUGAAGGCCUUCGGGUUGUAACGCUCUUUCGGACGGAAGGAAAUCGCACAGGCUAAUACCCUGCGCGGAGGCCGGUAUCGUUAUAAGAAGCCCCGGCUAACUACCUGCCAGUAGCCGCGGUAAUACGUAGGGUGCGAGCGUUAAUCGGAAUUACUGGGCGUAAAGCGUGCGCAGGCGGUUGAUUAAGACAGGCGUGAUAUCCCCGGGCUUAACCUGGGAACUGCGCUUGUGACUGGUAAGCUAGAGUACGGCAGAGGGGGGUGGAAUUCCACGUGUAGCAGUGAAAUGCGUAGAGAUGUGGAGGAACACCGAUGGCGAAGGCAGCCCCCUGGGCCGAUACUGACGCUCAUGCACGAAAGCGUGGGUAGCAAACAG
This 423-nucleotide ribosomal RNA is filed under the name uncultured bacterium. RNAcentral's name for it is "partial 16S ribosomal RNA". It matches the Rfam family "Bacterial small subunit ribosomal RNA", at positions 360 to 775 of the family's 1533-position model. The record is from RNAcentral.